This 806-nucleotide ribosomal RNA is filed under the name uncultured bacterium. Its description in RNAcentral is "bacterial SSU rRNA". It matches the Rfam family "Bacterial small subunit ribosomal RNA", at positions 649 to 1452 of the family's 1533-position model. The record is from RNAcentral.
UNGGAGAGGAAAGUGGAAUUCCUAGUGUAGCGGUGAAAUGCGUAGAUAUUAGGAAGAACACCAGUGGCGAAGGCGACUUUCUGGACGAAAACUGACGCUGAGGCGCGAAAGCCAGGGGAGCGAACGGGAUUAGAUACCCCGGUAGUCCUGNCCGUAAACGAUGGGUACUAGGUGUAGGAGGUAUCGACCCCUUCUGUGCCGGAGUUAACGCAAUAAGUACCCCGCCUGGGGAGUACGACCGCAAGGUUGAAACUCAAAGGAAUUGACGGGGGCCCGCACAAGCGGUGGAGUAUGUGGUUUAAUUCGACGCAACGCGAAGAACCUUACCAGGUCUUGACAUUGAUGGACAGAACUAGAGAUAGUUCCUCUUCUUCGGAAGCCAGAAAACAGGUGGUGCACGGUUGUCGUCAGCUCGUGUCGUGAGAUGUUGGGUUAAGUCCCGCAACGAGCGCAACCCCUAUCUUAUGUUGCCAGCACGUAAUGGUGGGAACUCAUGAGAGACUGCCGCAGACAAUGCGGAGGAAGGCGGGGAUGACGUCAAAUCAUCAUGCCCCUUAUGACCUGGGCUACACACGUACUACAAUGGGAGUUAAUAGACGGAAGCGAGAUCGCGAGAUGGAGCAAACCCGAGAAACACUCUCUCAGUUCGGAUCGUAGGCUGCAACUCGCCUACGUGAAGUCGGAAUCGCUAGUAAUCGCAGGUCAGCAUACUGCGGUGAAUACGUUCCCGGGCCUUGUACACACCGCCCGUCACACCACGAAAGUCGGAAGUGCCCAAAGCCGGUGGGGUAACCUUCGGGAGCCAG